This 254-nucleotide ribosomal RNA is filed under the name uncultured bacterium. RNAcentral describes it as "partial 16S ribosomal RNA". It matches the Rfam family "Bacterial small subunit ribosomal RNA", at positions 524 to 776 of the family's 1533-position model. The record is from RNAcentral.
UACGUAGGGUGCAAGCGUUGUCCGGAAUUAUUGGGCGUAAAGAGCUCGUAGGCGGCCUGUCGCGUCGGCUGUGAAAACCCGGGGCUCAACCCCGGGCCUGCGGUCGAUACGGGCAUCACUGGAGUUCGGUAGGGGAGAUCGGAAUUCCUGGUGUAGCGGUGGAAUGCGCAGAUAUCAGGAGGAACACCGGUGGCGAAGGCGGAUCUCUGGGCCAUAACUGACGCUGAGGAGCGAAAGCAUGGGGAGCGAACAGG